Molecule: ribosomal RNA, 265 nt
Filed under: uncultured archaeon
Lineage: Archaea
Description: partial 16S ribosomal RNA
Rfam family: Archaeal small subunit ribosomal RNA
Source: RNAcentral
AGUCACUGACAUUAGAUACCCGCGUAGUCCAGGGUGUAAACGCUGCAGACUUGGUGUUGGGAACCCUUCGGGGGUGCUCAGUGCCGGAGAGAAGUUGUUAAGUCUGCUACUUGGGGAGUACGUCCGCAAGGAUGAAACUUAAAGGAAUUGGCGGGGGAGCACCGCAACGGGAGGAGCGUGCGGUUUAAUUGGAUUCAACACCGUAAAACUCACCAGGGAAGACUGUUACAUGAAGGCCGAGAUGAAGACUCUGCUAGAUUUUCAG